CCUCCAGCUUUGGCUGGUGUUGGGUGUCUGUCCCCCCGUUGCGCGAGGACUCCCCUCAAAGCAAUUGGCAGCCGGCAUAAGCCUGGGAGCGCAGCACAAUUGUUGCUUCCAUUCUUAGAUGUCGAGCGUCCAGCAAGCCUUUUAUUCUUGCGUUUGACCUCGGAUCAGGUAGGGAUUCUCGCUGAACUUAAGCAUAUCAAUAAGCGGAGGAAAAGAAACCAACAGGGAUUGCCCUAGUAACGGCGAGUGAAGCGGCAUCAGCUCAAAUUUGAAAUCUGGCUCUCUCAGAGUCCGAGUUGUAAUUUGCAGAGGGCGCUUUGGCGUUGGCAGCGGUCCAAGUUCCUUGGAACAGGACGUCACAGAGGGUGAGAAUCCCGUACGUGGUCGCUAGCCUUCACCGUGUAAAGCCCCUUCGACGAGUCGAGUUGUUUGGGAAUGCAGCUCUAAAUGGGAGGUAAAUUUCUUCUAAAGCUAAAUACUGGCCAGAGACCGAUAGCGCACAAGUAGAGUGAUCGAAAGAUGAAAAGCACUUUGGAAAGAGAGUCAAAUAGCACGUGAAAUUGUUGAAAGGGAAGCGCUUGCAGCCAGACUUGCCUGUAGUUGCUCAUCCGGGCUUUUGCCCGGUGCAUUCUUCUAUAGGCAGGCCAGCAUCAGUUUGGGCGGUUGGAUAAAGGCCUCUGUCAUGUACCUCCUUUCGGGGAGGCCUUAUAGGGGAGGCGACAUGCAACCAGCCUGGACUGAGGUCCGCGCAUCUGCUAGGAUGCUGGCGUAAUGGCUGUAAGCGGCCCGUCUUGAAACACGGACCAAGGAGUCUAACAUCUAUGCGAGUGUUUGGGUGUCAAGCCCGAGCGCGCAAUGAAAGUGAACGGAGGUGGGAUCCCUUAAGGGUGCACCAUCGACCGAUCCUGAUGUCUUCGGAUGGAUUUGAGUAAGAGCAUGGCUGUUGGGACCCGAAAGAUGGUGAACUAUGCUUGAAUAGGGUGAAGCCAGAGGAAACUCUGGUGGAGGCUCGCAGCGGUUCUGACGUGCAAAUCGAUCGUCAAAUUUGGGCAUAGGGGCGAAAGACUAAUC
Molecule: unclassified non-coding RNA, 1071 nt
Filed under: Neopyrenochaeta maesuayensis
Lineage: Eukaryota; Fungi; Ascomycota; Dothideomycetes; Pleosporales; Neopyrenochaetaceae
Description: sequence contains 28S rRNA gene
Rfam family: Eukaryotic large subunit ribosomal RNA (bases 155-1071)
Source: RNAcentral